Molecule: ribosomal RNA, 429 nt
Filed under: Chloroflexota bacterium
Lineage: Bacteria; Bacillati; Chloroflexota
Description: Chloroflexi bacterium partial 16S ribosomal RNA
Rfam family: Bacterial small subunit ribosomal RNA
Source: RNAcentral
UGGGGAAUAUUGCACAAUGGGCGCAAGCCUGAUGCAGCCAUGCCGCGUGUAUGAAGAAGGCCUUCGGGUUGUAAAGUACUUUCAGUCGGGAGGAAGGUGGUAAGGUUAAUAACCUUAUCAAUUGACGUUACCGACAGAAGAAGCACCGGCUAACUCCGUGCCAGCAGCCGCGGUAAUACGGAGGGUGCAAGCGUUAAUCGGAAUUACUGGGCGUAAAGCGCACGCAGGCGGUUGAUUGAGUCAGAUGUGAAAUCCCCGGGCUUAACCCGGGAAUUGCAUCUGAUACUGGUCAGCUAGAGUCUUGUAGAGGGGGGUAGAAUUCCAUGUGUAGCGGUGAAAUGCGUAGAGAUGUGGAGGAAUACCGGUGGCGAAGGCGGCCCCCUGGACAAAGACUGACGCUCAGGUGGGAAAGCGUGGGGGGCAAACAGG